GAUGAAGAACGUAGCGAAAUGCGAUACGUAAUGUGAAUUGCAGAAUUCAGUGAAUCAUCGAAUCUUUGAACGCAUAUUGCGCUCUCUGGUAUUCCGGAGAGCAUGCUUGUUUGAGUAUCAGUAAACACCUCAACUCCCCUUUCUUUUUUUGAAAUGGGAGCUGGACUUGAGUGAUCCCAACGCUUUUCUCACCGAAAAGUGGCGGGUUACUUGAAAUGCAGGUGCAGCUGGACUUUUCUCUGAGCUAAAAGCAUAUCUAUUUAGUCUGCCUAAAAAACAGAUUAUUACCUUUGCUGCAGCUAACAUAAAGGAGAUUAGUUCUUGUGCUGACUGAUGCAGGAUUCACAGAGACAGCUUCGGCUGGCCUUUGUAAACUCGAUCUCAAAUCAAGUAAGACUACCCGCUGAACUUAAGCAUAUCAAAAGCGGAGGA
Molecule: unclassified non-coding RNA, 432 nt
Filed under: soil metagenome
Description: partial contains 5.8S ribosomal RNA, internal transcribed spacer 2, and large subunit ribosomal RNA
Rfam family: 5.8S ribosomal RNA (bases 1-120)
Source: RNAcentral